UGCGGAAGGAUCAUUACCGAGUGCGGGUCCUUUGGGCCCAACCUCCCAUCCGUGUCUAUUAUACCCUGUUGCUUCGGCGGGCCCGCCGCUUGUCGGCCGCCGGGGGGGCGCCUUUGCCCCCCGGGCCCGUGCCCGCCGGAGACCCCAACACGAACACUGUCUGAAAGCGUGCAGUCUGAGUUGAUUGAAUGCAAUCAGUUAAAACUUUCAACAAUGGAUCUCUUGGUUCCGGCAUCGAUGAAGAACGCAGCGAAAUGCGAUAACUAAUGUGAAUUGCAGAAUUCAGUGAAUCAUCGAGUCUUUGAACGCACAUUGCGCCCCCUGGUAUUCCGGGGGGCAUGCCUGUCCGAGCGUCAUUGCUGCCCUCAAGCCCGGCUUGUGUGUUGGGUCGCCGUCCCCCUCUCCGGGGGGACGGGCCCGAAAGGCAGCGGCGGCACCGCGUCCGAUCCUCGAGCGUAUGGGGCUUUGUCACAUGCUCUGUAGGAUUGGCCGGCGCCUGCCGACGUUUUCCAACCAUUUUUUCCAGGUUGACCUCGGAUCAGGUAGGGAUACCCGCUGAACUUAAGCAUAUCAAUAAGCGGAGGAAAAGAAACCAACCGGGAUUGCCUCAGUAACGGCGAGUGAAGCGGCAAGAGCUCAAAUUUGAAAGCUGGCUCCUUCGGAGUCCGCAUUGUAAUUUGCAGAGGAUGCUUUGGGUGCGGCCCCCGUCUAAGUGCCCUGGAACGGGCCGUCAGAGAGGGUGAGA
This 745-nucleotide ribosomal RNA is filed under the name fungal sp. Its description in RNAcentral is "eukaryotic LSU rRNA". The stretch from base 529 to 745 matches the Rfam family "Eukaryotic large subunit ribosomal RNA", at positions 1 to 217 of the family's 3401-position model. Lineage: Eukaryota; Fungi. The record is from RNAcentral.